This is a long non-coding RNA of Cavia porcellus (domestic guinea pig), 2742 nucleotides long. RefSeq lists it as uncharacterized. The transcript is spliced from 2 exons. The record is from RefSeq and is a predicted model, not a curated record. Lineage: Eukaryota; Metazoa; Chordata; Mammalia; Rodentia; Caviidae.
UUCUAGUUCCAGAUGGAUUUUGGGAGUGAUUUCUCUAGCUUUAUGAGACAGGUGUGUCCUGUGAGUCUCUGGCCCUCUCCAUGUUGCUUAGGGUCUUUCCAAAGCAUGCUGACUGGGGUUUUGCUGCCCUCCCAAAUUUGCUGUAAUCUGAGGUACACACAGGGAUGCAGGGAUGGUGCAGGCUAUCCUCGAGCCUCUGAGCCAGUUGACCCACAAGUUCCUUUAGCAACUUAGGCUGUACCUUGUGGAUAUCACAGUGUUGUGACAGUUUUGUCCCUGGAUACUGGGUCCCAACCAGAGACAUAGCUCACCCCCACAUAUCCCACCAGUCCUCUCUGCACCUGGGGUGGCCGACUGAUUCCACCAUGGUGCCAGGCUCUGCCCAGCUCCAAGAUGUCCUCCAGCCAGCAACAGCAGCCAUGGGACCCAAUCCCCAGCACUACUGGGAAUCAAUGCAGUUCUCCAUCUUGACUCCAGUCCACACUGCACUGUGUCCCACCAAGGCCUGGGACUCAACAAUUCCUGUUAUCGGCAGCCAUAGCUUCAGCUUGACCUUGAAUUGCCUGACUCCACGGUGUUCCCAGCACAGUGCGGACCAGUCUCAGUGAGCGCAUAGGGUUCCAGCAUUUUUCCUUCCUCCGCAAAUGUAGAUUCUAGCUUGAUGUGGUUUUUCCACUGCUAGAUCAGCAUCCUGCCUCUUCAGAAAACUGCGUGGCACCUGGCUUUGGUGCCCAGGUGCCCAGGCCCAGAAAACUCCGUGGCCUCCUCCAGCCUGGCCAGGUGGCUCCAGCUGCUCCACAGGGCCCCAGGACCCAAUUUCUAGUACUCACCGAGAGCCAAUAAAGCUCUCUACCUUGGCUCCACUCCACAAUGCGCCGCGUCCUCCCACCAAGGGUCCAGGAUUCAUUGACUCUUGUAAUCGGCAGCCGUGGCUUCAGCACGACUUUGGAUCUUCUGACUCUAGGGCGUGCCCAGCACAGCGUGGAACGGUUCUCAGUGAGCGUGUCAGGCUUCAACCUUCCACCCGCGCUUUUCCUUCCUCUUCCUAAUUUUAUUUUUCCCUUUGGUUUCCUCCUAGGUUAAUAAAAAUCAUUCUCCAAUCGUUUGGCCCUCUCCAUGUUGUGAAAUUCUAGCAUCUGAGCUGUUUUCUCCACAAAGGUUCUCUGUCCAGCUUCCUAGCAAGCCGCCAUUUUCCCCCCUAAAUUUUAUUUAUUUAUUUAUUUUUUGGUACUGGAGAUUGAACUCAUGACUGCAUGUUUGCAAGGCGGGCACUUAUGCUGCUGAGCUAAAUCCCCAGGCCCACUCCUAAAAUUUAUAUGGAACCAGGAGACCUAGAAUAGCAAAAGCAAUUCUGGGCAACAAAGGCAAGUCAGGGGGCAUCACAAUCUCAAUUCAAAGUCAUAUUACAAAGCUAUUGCAAUAAAAUAGUAUGGUGUUGGCAAAAAUCCCCAGCACCCAAGGAUCAGUGGAACAUAACAGAAAGUGCAGAAACAACUUUGAGCACACUCAGCUACCAUAUCUUUGACAGAAGUGCCAAACACCUUCACUGGAAGAAAGAUAGCUUCUUUAAUAAAUGGUCCUGGAAAAACUGGCUUUCUACAUGUUGAGGAUUAAACCUAGACCCAUAUCUUGCAUUAUGCACUAAACUAAAACUGAGAUAGGUAAAUAUCUAAAUAUUAAAACAGAAACAAUCUUGCUGGAAGAUAAAAUUGGUAAAACUCUUGAAGACACAGAUGUAGGCAAACACUUUAUGAAUAAAACCCCAAAUGCACAGGAAAUAUUACCAGGAACAACUGGGAUCACAUAAUAUUAAAAAGCUUUUGCACAACAAAAGAAAGCCCCCAACAGAGUGAAUAGACAAUCCACAAAGUGGGAAAAAUGUUUUCCAGCUGUUCUUCAAAAGGCUAUCUAGAAUAUAUAAAGAACUAAAAAAAAAUUAUACUCCACAAAUGUAAAAACCCAACCUCAAAUGGACAUCUGAAAUGAAUACACGUAUCAGAUGAAGUACAAACAGCAAAUUAAUAUAUGAAAAAAUAUUUAACACCACUGCUCAUUUGAGAGAUACAAAUUAAAACAUUGCUGUGGGGGCUGAGGAUUUAGCUCAGCAGCAGAAGUUCCUGCCUUGCAAGUGCAGUAGUGAGUUUGAUCCCAGGUACCAAAAAACCCAAACAAAAAAACACAAUGCUGAGAUCCCAUUUCACUCCUAUAAGGAUGAAAAUCAGCAGGAAAGCAACCAAUAACAAAAGGUGGUAAGGCUCUGGGGGAAAAGGAAUGCUUCUUCACUAUUGAUGGGAGUUUAAAUAGGUACAAUCACCAAGGAAAUCAGUAUGGAGAUUCCUCAAAAAACUAGCACUAGAGGUUCUAUUUGACCCAGCUAUUGCCCUUCUUGAAAGAGUUACAGUACAAGCAUCAUACCACAGAGAUAUUAUAGCAGCACAGUUUGCAGUAGCUAAAUCUUGGAAACAGUCUAGAUCCCCAUCAACUGAUGAAUGAAUAAAGAAAAUGUGGUUUUUGUAUACAAUGCAGUGCCAGUGCCAUAAAGUAGUACACCUGAGACAUUUUUAGGUAAAUGGAUGCACCUUGAUACCAUAUUUCUACUUUCUUUUUUUUUUUUUUUUAUGGGUACCAGGGAUCAAACCCAUAACCCUGUACUUGCCAGGCAGAUGCUUAUGCCACUGAGCUAAAUCUCCAACCCCUGAUACCAUAUUUCUAAGGGAAAUAAAUUGGAUAUAUGUGUCUAAA